This 381-nucleotide ribosomal RNA is filed under the name uncultured bacterium. RNAcentral's name for it is "bacterial SSU rRNA". It matches the Rfam family "Bacterial small subunit ribosomal RNA", at positions 29 to 414 of the family's 1533-position model. The record is from RNAcentral.
AACGAACGCUGGCGGCAUGCCUUACACAUGCAAGUCGAACGGCAGCGCGGGGCAACCUGGCGGCGAGUGGCGAACGGGUGAGUAAUAUAUCGGAACGUACCCUGGAGUGGGGGAUAACGUAGCGAAAGUUACGCUAAUACCGCAUACGAUCUAAGGAUGAAAGUGGGGAGUCGCAAGACCUCAUGCUCCUGGAGCGGCCGAUAUCUGAUUAGCUAGUUGGUGGGGAAAGGCCUACCAAGGCAUCGAUCAGUAGCUGGUCUGAGAGGACGACCAGCCACACUGGGACUGAGACACGGCCCAGACUCCUACGGGAGGCAGCAGUGGGGAAUUUUGGACAAUGGGGGCAACCCUGAUCCAGCAAUGCCGCGUGAGUGAAGAAGG